RNAcentral lists this ribosomal RNA (1287 nucleotides) under metagenome. RNAcentral describes it as "bacterial SSU rRNA". It matches the Rfam family "Bacterial small subunit ribosomal RNA", at positions 242 to 1520 of the family's 1533-position model. The record is from RNAcentral.
UAGCUAGUUGGUGAGGUAAAGGCUUACCAAGGCGACGAUCUGUAGCGGGUCUGAGAGGAUGAUCCGCCACACUGGAACUGAGACACGGUCCAGACUCCUACGGGAGGCAGCAGUGGGGAAUUUUGGACAAUGGGGGCAACCCUGAUCCAGCCAUGCCGCGUGAGUGAAGAAGGCCUUCGGGUUGUAAAGCUCUUUCGGCCGGGAAGAAAUCGCAUGGGCCAAUACCCUGUGUGGAUGACGGUACCGGAAUAAGAAGCACCGGCUAACUACGUGCCAGCAGCCGCGGUAAUACGUAGGGUGCGAGCGUUAAUCGGAAUUACUGGGCGUAAAGCGUGCGCAGGCGGUUUUGUAAGACAGGCGUGAAAUCCCCGGGCUUAACCUGGGAACUGCGUUUGUGACUGCAAGGCUAGAGUACGGCAGAGGGGGGUGGAAUUCCACGUGUAGCAGUGAAAUGCGUAGAGAUGUGGAGGAACACCAAUGGCGAAGGCAGCCCCCUGGGUCGAUACUGACGCUCAUGCACGAAAGCGUGGGUAGCAAACAGGAUUAGAUACCCUGGUAGUCCACGCCCUAAACUAUGUCAACUAGGUGUUGGGUGGGUAAAACCAUUUAGUACCGUAGCUAACGCGUGAAGUUGACCGCCUGGGGAGUACGGCCGCAAGGUUAAAACUCAUAGGAAUUGACGGGGACCCGCACAAGCGGUGGAUGAUGUGGAUUAAUUCGAUGCAACGCGAAAAACCUUACCUACCCUUGACAUGCCAGGAACUUGCCAGAGAUGGCUUGGUGCCCGAAAGGGAGCCUGGACACAGGUGCUGCAUGGCUGUCGUCAGCUCGUGUCGUGAGAUGUUGGGUUAAGUCCCGCAACGAGCGCAACCCUUGUCGUUAAUUGCCAUCAUUUAGUUGGGCACUUUAACGAGACUGCCGGUGACAAACCGGAGGAAGGUGGGGAUGACGUCAAGUCCUCAUGGCCCUUAUGGGUAGGGCUUCACACGUCAUACAAUGGUCGGUACAAAGGGUUGCCAAGCCGCGAGGCGGAGCCAAUCCCAGAAAGCCGAUCGUAGUCCGGAUUGCAGGCUGCAACUCGCCUGCAUGAAGUCGGAAUCGCUAGUAAUCGUGGAUCAGCAUGUCACGGUGAAUACGUUCCCGGGUCUUGUACACACUGCCCGUCACACCAUGGGAGCGGGUUCCGCCAGAAGUAGGUAGCCUAACCGCAAGGGGGGCGCUUACCACGGCGGGGUUCGUGACUGGGGUGAAGUCGUAACAAGGUAGCCGUAGGGGAACCUGCGGCUG